Molecule: long non-coding RNA, 155 nt
Organism: Saccostrea echinata
Lineage: Eukaryota; Metazoa; Mollusca; Bivalvia; Ostreida; Ostreidae
Exons: 3
Source: RefSeq, a predicted model, not a curated record
CAUCAGGAAAAGGAGCAUUUUAAACAGAUUCUGAGGAAAAUUCACGAAGAGUUAAUGACAAAGUUCAAAGAAAGGGAGUCACAUCAACAGACCAAGAGAGAUCUCCACAAAGAGCUUCUAACAAAACUAAAAGAAAAGAGAACAGUUAAACAGAU